UGUAGUUCAGGAGCUGCAGGGAGCACAGGCUCUCCUCAGUUUUGUGUAGGCUCUUUUCCACAGGAUGGGCAGGUUUUCAACCCACUGGGGAAAGUGGAGUAUAAACUACAACUCAAACUACUUCCCUGUUGAGAAAUAGGUGGAUUACAACUAUUGCAGUGUGCUCACUUUUCAGGAAAGCUAUUAGUUAAAUCUUAUUAAUGCCAUAAAUUGUCUGAAGGAGAUAAUAUGCCUCUGAAAAAUGCUCUUGAGUCGGUCCUGAUGAUUGUAGAAAGAAGCAGACUAGCCAAAGUUUUUAUAUUUGUGGCAGAAGAAUUUGAAGAGACGGAAACAGCAUCUGUCUUUGAUGGAACCUGCUCCCCUACCACCAGCCAUGGAUUUAAUGUCUUCACUGAUUUCUGGAAAACUUUUUGAAGUUUUUUGAGGAGUUAAGCCUACCAUUCAUAUAUUUUUUUAAUUAGAGGUGGUCGCAGCAAAUCCUUUAAUCUUUGCUAUGCGUGUACUCAAACACAUCUGGGCUAAAAUAUUACAGCUUAGAAGAAAGUAACAUAUGCUCUAGUCUCAAACAGUGUCUUUCAAACCAAAAAAUAGCAGAGCCUGAGUUCUAAUAAGUAAAACAGAGCUACACCUCCCAUGGACUGUUUGAUUUUAACCUUGACUUCAACAGAGAAAACAUCCUAGAACCUAGGACAUUAUAUAUUCCUUGCUGUAAUAUAAAUAAAACACAAAUGCACUCUAA
This is a long non-coding RNA of Hirundo rustica (Barn swallow), 739 nucleotides long. RefSeq lists it as uncharacterized. Lineage: Eukaryota; Metazoa; Chordata; Aves; Passeriformes; Hirundinidae. The record is from RefSeq and is a predicted model, not a curated record. The transcript is spliced from 4 exons.